UCCCCUCUCCUGCCACUACGCCUAUAUGCGUGUACAGUACACUUGCCAGUGUUUCCCCUCAACCCGCAGUGUUGUUCCACUAUACUAAGAAGGUUUACGCGAUAGGGAAAACGAGAAAUGCUCAACAACAUUCUAAUCGACGUCAGGUGACGUCCGCACUAUGUGGUACAGGUCCCCCACCAUGAAGAGAAAAUUUUGUACCAUAGCCGAAAGAAAGAAGUGAUGCUAGAAAAGCUAAACGCUGAGGACUGUGCCGUCCAAACUUAGCUGCUUAGAACCUCUUCCAACUGAGCAGUGCCUCCAAGUGAACAGUACUUCGUAAGAAAACGUUUCUGCAAUACUCGUAGGACGUCCGCUCGAUCGCCAAUACCAAGAAGUUGACUACCAGCCAGCCAGUAGUCUGUAUCGUAAUGUGUGUACAAUGUUUCGUGUCGUAUUGCGAUUGUUUUAUUAGUUCCUGCUAUGUUAGAAUGAGAAUAUUAAGUAAUUAUACUUUUCAAAGUUGUUAUGCUCGAAGCUGGUUACAUUUACAAACUUUUUACUGUUUUCAAAAUAA
Molecule: long non-coding RNA, 556 nt
Organism: Homalodisca vitripennis (glassy-winged sharpshooter)
Lineage: Eukaryota; Metazoa; Arthropoda; Insecta; Hemiptera; Cicadellidae
Exons: 3
Source: RefSeq, a predicted model, not a curated record